Molecule: ribosomal RNA, 497 nt
Filed under: uncultured bacterium
Lineage: Bacteria
Description: partial 16S ribosomal RNA
Rfam family: Bacterial small subunit ribosomal RNA
Source: RNAcentral
GAUGAACGCUGGCGGCGUGCCUAAUACAUGCAAGUCGAGCGAACGGACGAGAAGCUUGCUUCUCUGAUGUUAGCGGCGGACGGGUGAGUAACACGUGGAUCACCUACCUAUAAGACUGGGAUAACUUCGGGAAACGGUAGCUAAUACCGGAUAAUAUCUUGAACCGCAUGGUUCAAAAGUGAAAGACGGUCUUGCUGUCUCUUAUAGAUGGAUCCGGGCUGCAUUAGAUAGUUGGUAAGGUCACGGCUUUCCAAGGCAAGGAUGCGUAGCCGACUGGAGAGGGUGAUCGGCCGCAUGGGAGGUGAGACAGCGUCCAGACGCCUGAGGGAGGGAGCAGUAGGGAAUCUGCCGCAAUGGGCGGAAGCCUGACGGAGCGGCGCCGCGUGAGUGAUGAAAGUCUUCGGAUCGUAAAACUCUGUUAUUGGGGGAAAACAUCUGUGUAAGUAGCUGUACACAUCUUGACGGUAACUGAUCAGAAAGCACCGGCUAACUACGUG